RNAcentral lists this ribosomal RNA (400 nucleotides) under uncultured bacterium. Its description in RNAcentral is "bacterial SSU rRNA". It matches the Rfam family "Bacterial small subunit ribosomal RNA", at positions 355 to 748 of the family's 1533-position model. The record is from RNAcentral.
UCGAGGAUCAUUUGCAAUGGGCGAAAGCCUGACAAUGCGACGCUGCGUGGAGGAUGAAGGCCUUCGGGUUGUAAACUCCUGUCAUGGGGGAACAGGCGAGGGGACCCAAUACGUCCCUUAGUUGAGUGUACCCCAAGAGGAAGGGACGGCUAACUCUGUGCCAGCAGCCGCGGUAAUACAGAGGUCCCUAGCGUUGUUCGGAUUUACUGGGCGUAAAGGGCGCGUAGGCGGCAGGGCGUGUCAAGUGUGAAAUCUCCGGGCUCAACCCGGAAAGUGCGCUUGAAACUACCUUGCUCGAGUAUGGGAGAGGGAAUCGGAAUAUAGGGUGUAGCGGUGAAAUGCGUUGAUAUCCUAUAGAACACCGGAGCGAAGGCGGAUUCCUUGAACAUCACUGACGCUG